ACUCAAAGGAAUUGACGGGGGCCCGCACAAGCAGCGGAGCAUGUGGUUUAAUUCGAAGCAACGCGAAGAACCUUACCAAGGCUUGACAUCCCUUGACGUGCAUAGAAAUAUGUACUCCCUUCGGGGCAAGGAGACAGGUGGUGCAUGGUUGUCGUCAGCUCGUGUCGUGAGAUGUUGGGUUAAGUCCCGCAACGAGCGCAACCCUUAUUGCUAGUUGCCAGCGCGUAAAGGCGGGAACUCUAGUGAGACUGCCGGGGACAACUCGGAGGAAGGUGGGGACGACGUCAAAUCAUCAUGCCCCUUAUGUCUUGGGCUACACACGUGCUACAAUGGCCGGUACAAAGGGCAGCAAAGCCGCAAGGCGGAGCGAAUCUCAUAAAGCCGGUCUCAGUUCGGAUCGUGGGCUGCAACCCGCCCACGUGAAGUCGGAGUUGCUAGUAAUCGCGAAUCAGCAUGUCGCGGUGAAUGCGUUCCCGGGCCUUGUACACACCGCCCGU
This 497-nucleotide ribosomal RNA is filed under the name uncultured bacterium. Its description in RNAcentral is "bacterial SSU rRNA". It matches the Rfam family "Bacterial small subunit ribosomal RNA", at positions 899 to 1397 of the family's 1533-position model. The record is from RNAcentral.